ACUCCUACGGGAGGCAGCAGUGAGGAAUAUUGCGCAAUGGAGGCAACUCUGACGCAGCAACGCCGCGUGAGCGAUGAAGGCCUUCGGGUUGUAAAGCUCUGUUUUAAGGGACGAAUGUUCAUGUGAGUAACUGCGCAUGAAAUGACGGUACCUUAAGAGGAAGCCCCGGCUAACUACGUGCCAGCAGCCGCGGUAAU
This 197-nucleotide ribosomal RNA is filed under the name uncultured Syntrophomonas sp. RNAcentral describes it as "partial 16S ribosomal RNA". It matches the Rfam family "Bacterial small subunit ribosomal RNA", at positions 335 to 524 of the family's 1533-position model. The record is from RNAcentral. Lineage: Bacteria; Bacillati; Bacillota; Clostridia; Eubacteriales; Syntrophomonadaceae.